UACGUAGGGGGCAAGCGUUGUCCGGAUUUAUUGGGCGUAAAGAGCGUGUAGGCGGCUAGAUAGGUCCGUUGUGAAAACUCGAGGCUCAACCUCGAGACGUCGGUGGAAACCGUUUGGCUAGAGUCCGGAAGAGGAGAGUGGAAUUCCCGGUGUAGCGGUGAAAUGCGCAGAUAUCGGGAAGAACACCCGUGGCGAAGGCGGCUCUCUGGGACGGUACUGACGCUGAGACGCGAAAGCCAGGGGAGCGAACGGG
This 253-nucleotide ribosomal RNA is filed under the name uncultured bacterium. RNAcentral describes it as "partial 16S ribosomal RNA". It matches the Rfam family "Bacterial small subunit ribosomal RNA", at positions 524 to 776 of the family's 1533-position model. The record is from RNAcentral.